Molecule: long non-coding RNA, 272 nt
Filed under: Coturnix japonica (Japanese quail)
Lineage: Eukaryota; Metazoa; Chordata; Aves; Galliformes; Phasianidae
Description: lncRNA (ENSCJPG00005007881.1)
Source: RNAcentral
UCAUUUUUUUUCAGUUUUGAUUAGGAUUGCAAACACCUGAUGUGAUCUGACUGCUAUUCACUGCUUUGAGAACAUCUGAGAAAAUCUAAGCAGACACAGGAUGAAUAAUAAAAACAAAAUGAUCUUAAGGGUUCCAAAGAGUUUUCACCUCUUUGACUUGACAACAAGAAAAGCUGAUGCAGUCUGGAGAGUGCUGCAGUUUCUUCUUACAACACAAUGACAUGAAGACCUGGAAGUGGAAGAGUUAACUGACACAUGGCUUGCCUUUGAAG